This 253-nucleotide ribosomal RNA is filed under the name uncultured prokaryote. RNAcentral's name for it is "partial 16S ribosomal RNA". It matches the Rfam family "Bacterial small subunit ribosomal RNA", at positions 525 to 777 of the family's 1533-position model. The record is from RNAcentral.
ACGAAGGGGACUAGCGUUGUUCGGAUUUACUGGGCGUAAAGCGCGCGUAGGCGGAUAUUUAAGUCAGGGGUGAAAUCCCAGGGCUCAACCCUGGAACUGCCUUUGAUACUGGAUGUCUGGAGAUCGGGAGAGGUUGGUGGAAUUCCGGGUGUAGAGGUGAAAUUCGUAGAUAUUCGGAGGAACACCAGAAGCGAAGGCGGCCAACUGGCCCGAUACUGACGCUGAGGCGCGAAAGCGUGGGGAGCAAACAGGA